Molecule: long non-coding RNA, 306 nt
Organism: Leopardus geoffroyi (Geoffroy's cat)
Lineage: Eukaryota; Metazoa; Chordata; Mammalia; Carnivora; Felidae
Exons: 3
Source: RefSeq, a predicted model, not a curated record
UCCCUCUCUCUCUGCCUUCCAUGCUCCCUCUCUCUCUCAAAAUAAAUAAACUUAAAAAAAGGUUUUUUUUAAUAUGACACUAGCAUCAAAAAUAUUCAAGAUACACUGAGUUAUGAGGGACAAACAAGAUGUCUACUCUCAAAGCAUCUACUCAACACGCUCCUAGAAGUUCCAAGCCACGGUAACAGAAAAGAAAAGGCCGGAAGUUGUAUCCAGUUUGGAAAGGAAGAAAGUAAACUGUCUUGACUCACAGAAAACGUGAUCUGUGAGGAAAAUGCUACGGAAGAGCACACGACUGAAGUCCAG